GGCUAGAGUUUGAUCAUGGCUCAGGAUGAACGCUGGCGGCGUGCCUAACACAUGCAAGUCGAACGGAGUUGUUUGAGGAAAUCCUUCGGGAUGGAAUCUUCCAACUUAGUGGCGGACGGGUGAGUAACGCGUGAGCAAUCUGCCUUUCAGAGGGGGAUAACAGCCGGAAACGGCUGCUAAUACCGCAUAAUGCAUCGAAUUCGCAUGUUUUUGAUGCCAAAGAUUUUAUCGCUGAAAGAUGAGCUCGCGUCUGAUUAGCUAGUUGGCGGGGUAACGGCCCACCAAGGCGACGAUCAGUAGCCGGACUGAGAGGUUGAACGGCCACAUUGGGACUGAGACACGGCCCAGACUCCUACGGGAGGCAGCAGUGGGGAAUACUGCGCAAUGGGGGCAACCCUGACGCAGCAACGCCGCGUGAUUGAUGAAGGUCUUCGGAUUGUAAAAAUCUUUAAUCAGGGACGAAACAAAUGACGGUACCUGAAGAAUAAGCUCCGGCUAACUACGUGCCAGCAGCCGCGGUAAUACGUAGGGAGCAAGCGUUAUCCGGAUUUACUGGGUGUAAAGGGCGUGUAGGCGGGCUUGUAAGUUGGAAGUGAAAUCUCGGGGCUUAACCCGAAACUGCUUUCAAACUGCGAGUCUUGAGUGAUGGAGAGGCAGGCGGAUUCCCAGUGUAGCGGUGAAAUGCGUAGAUAUUGGGAGGACACCAGGUGGCGNNCGNUGCUGGACAUUAACUGACGCUGAGGCGCGAAGCGUGGGGAGCAACNGAUUAGGAUACCCUGGUAGUCCACGCCGUAACGAUGGANACUAAGUGUGGGAGNAUUGAC
This 824-nucleotide ribosomal RNA is filed under the name uncultured organism. Its description in RNAcentral is "bacterial SSU rRNA". It matches the Rfam family "Bacterial small subunit ribosomal RNA", at positions 1 to 835 of the family's 1533-position model. The record is from RNAcentral.